Long non-coding RNA from Homo sapiens (human), 562 nucleotides. RefSeq annotates it as WARS2 intronic transcript 1. NCBI's taxonomy places the organism in Eukaryota, Metazoa, Chordata, Mammalia, Primates, Hominidae. The transcript is spliced from 2 exons. The record is from RefSeq and is marked validated.
GAUACGCAAAAAGCUACCACUAUGUCUCCACGAAGCUGAGUAUUUUCCUUGGAGUAGCUUUUUAUUUGGACAUAUGGAAUGAAACUUACUUAAUAUUCUGCAGAGAUCUUCCUGGUGUUUCCAAAAUGUCUCAGGUAUGUCUUUAUCAGCAUCAUGAAAACAGACUAAUACAGUAAGUUGAUACCAGUACAGUGGGGCAUUGCCGAAAAGAUACCUGAAAAUGUGGAAGUGACUUUGGAACUGGGUAACAGGCAGAGAUUGGAACAGUUUGGAGGGCUCAGAAGAAGAUAGGAAGAUAAGGGAGAGUUUGAAACUUCCUAGAGACUUGUUGAAUGGCUUUGCUCAAAAUGCUGAUAGUGAUAUGGACAAUAAUGUACAGACUGAGGUGGUCUCAGAUGGAGAUGAGGAACUUGUUGGGACCUGGAGCAAAGGUGACUUGUUAUGUUUUAGCAAAGAGACUGGCAGCAUUUUGCCCCUGCCCUAGAGAUUUGUGGAACUUUGAACUUGAGAAAGAUGAUUUAGGGUAUCUGGCAGAAGAAAUUUCUAAGCAGCAAAGCAUUCA